UCGGAUGCUUAACCGACUAAGCCACCCAGGCGCCCCGGAGAUGUUCACUUUAUCUGGAGUAGAGAAUUAUCUGUGGAUUGAAAUUAUCCAUGUUCAGACACCUUGAUGGAGUAUUGUGUGGCCAGAGCUGUGGGUACAGAGAGGAAGAAAUUGUGGUCCCUGCCCCCCAAGAACUCACAGAACCAUCGAAUUUAAAGCAAAAAGAGGAAAUGGGUGAUUACAACCCAAUGUGUUAAGUGUGACAAUAAUAAUAGCUGACAUUUAUGAAGUA
This is a long non-coding RNA of Hyaena hyaena (striped hyena), 271 nucleotides long. RefSeq lists it as uncharacterized. The transcript is spliced from 2 exons. NCBI's taxonomy places the organism in Eukaryota, Metazoa, Chordata, Mammalia, Carnivora, Hyaenidae. The record is from RefSeq and is a predicted model, not a curated record.